Molecule: transfer RNA, 72 nt
Filed under: Bacillus phage vB_BanS-Thrax1
Lineage: Duplodnaviria; Heunggongvirae; Uroviricota; Caudoviricetes
Rfam family: tRNA
About the family: Transfer RNA (tRNA) molecules are approximately 80 nucleotides in length.
Source: Rfam by way of RNAcentral
GAGCCUAUGGUGUUAGUGGUAGCACAGCAGACUUUUAAUCUGUUUGGCUUGGUUCGAGUCCAAGUAGGCUCA